GGAUGAAAAUAUGCUUGGGUAUUCAAACACGUCAUGGAUCUGUGAAACGAUGUAAUCAGACAAAGUUUGGAGUUAUCUAUCAUUCUCUUAAACAGCAGUGGCCCAGUCUAAAGCUUUAUCGAAAAAACCUCUUUGGCGUGAUUACAGGAG
This is a long non-coding RNA of Xyrauchen texanus (razorback sucker), 150 nucleotides long. RefSeq lists it as uncharacterized. The record is from RefSeq and is a predicted model, not a curated record. The transcript is spliced from 3 exons. NCBI's taxonomy places the organism in Eukaryota, Metazoa, Chordata, Actinopteri, Cypriniformes, Catostomidae.